AACGAACGCUGGCGGCAUGCCUAACACAUGCAAGUCGAACGAGACCUUCGGGUCUAGUGGCGCACGGGUGCGUAACGCGUGGGAACCUGCCCUUAGGUUCGGAAUAACUCCCCGAAAGGGGUGCUAAUACCGGAUAAUGUCUUCGGACCAAAGAUUUAUCGCCUUUGGAUGGGCCCGCGUUGGAUUAGCUAGUUGGUAGGGUAAAAGCCUACCAAGGCGACGAUCCAUAGCUGGUCUGAGAGGAUGAUCAGCCACACUGGGACUGAGACACGGCCCAGACUCCUACGGGAGGCAGCAGUGGGGAAUAUUGGACAAUGGGCGAAAGCCUGAUCCAGCAAUGCCGCGUCAGUGAUGAAGGCCUUAGGGUUGUAAAGCUCUUUUACCCGGGAUGAUAAUGACAGUACCGGGAGAAUAAGCUCCGGCUAACUCCGUG
This 433-nucleotide ribosomal RNA is filed under the name uncultured bacterium. RNAcentral describes it as "partial 16S ribosomal RNA". It matches the Rfam family "Bacterial small subunit ribosomal RNA", at positions 29 to 507 of the family's 1533-position model. The record is from RNAcentral.